Molecule: microRNA precursor, 86 nt
Filed under: Solanum tuberosum (potato)
Lineage: Eukaryota; Viridiplantae; Streptophyta; Magnoliopsida; Solanales; Solanaceae
Description: MIR8024 microRNA precursor family
Rfam family: MIR8024 microRNA precursor family
Source: Rfam by way of RNAcentral
UUAGAGGAUUUGAAGACUUCAACUUGCAUACUUGGAGGAUUUGAAGACAUCAACUUGCAUACUUGGAGGAUUUGAAGACUUCAACU